UGGAUUUUGCAAAUGCUUUAUGAAACAUGUUUCCCUUUUAUGCAGAUAUGCAAUGGCAAGCCUUUCCGUGUGUUCCAAAGGUAAAAUUUAAGCUCUAAAUUAAAGAAGACAUUUCUAGUCAGAAACAAGCAAAAAUGGAGAAUGCAGAGUAUCAGAAGCCCAAGGUACAGAAAUUAUGAGAAGUGUCGAGUGAUUUUAAGGAAAGAGUCGUAUUUGAAAAUGCGAGACUCUUUAGUGGAGGUCAAGCAAGUCAGUAUAGGUAGAAUACUCUGCAAAAUUUUGCGAGUGAGGGGAUGUCAAACAAUGGGUCAGGAAAUGCGUUGUUUUUCUGCAAAACAAAAGCUGAUUGCCAUUACAUAAGUCACUUCAGCAUCAUGAGACUGCUGCUUGAUCAAUUCAGAAAUAAACCAAAACACAAGACAUGCAAAAAUAAAGAAACAAUAUAAUGAUGCUCUCUCCACAUUGGGAUAAAUAAAAACAAACACAUCACAUCUAAUGUGGACAUAUCAGACACCUUGUGAAACACUAAAGGAAAAAGUUCAGUUUCGAGCUAUGGCACUUGCCGCAUAGAUGUGGGGGGGCCUUGCACUAAUAGUGAUAGUUACCACUGCAUUUAGAAAUAGAACGCAUUCAUGCAGACAAGGAUGAUUCUUUAUAUUUUUGGCUACCACUUCAAGUGCCUCCACCAAGUGUUACAAUGCUGCACGCAGCCAUACUAAGGAUCUCGCCGCAACACCUGGAGGUAAAAAGCAGAAGCAGUCAAAGUGCUGGUGUGUACUGGACACUAUGUUUGAAAACAUUAGGCAAGAAGCGUGCAAGAAGCAGACAUAACUGCAUUUAUUUCCAUAAUUCCCCAUUUGAAUGGCCUUUUCUUUUUGCUUAGACAAUGCCUACACCUAGCUACAGCAGCUCCCUCAUACAGACUCCACAAGCCAAGAGGCCGUGGAGGCAAAUGCAGGCAGCCAGCACACCCCGAACAGCCACCUUGACUGCGGGCGUGUCACCCUAGUCGCCAAGGAAACAUUUGAGGGAAAGCGACAGGCAAUGUGAACAGCCACUUCUCCAUGUAAACAAUACUCUUUCUCUCGGAUGACUCCUACGCCUCGCCACGCCAGCACACUUGUGCACAAAGAUGCUGCGGAGGCACGUGCAGCUCAGAGGCAAGAAGCAGUGGCACUGGUGUCGACAUUCACCCACUUUCUUUUUCUUACACUGAGGCAGCCAGUACACCUCGAACAGCCACCUUGACUGCGGGUGUGUCAGUAGAUUCCUGUUGUACAUAUGCUCAUAAUAAACAUCAGUAAACUUGAACUUGAUAAUAAACUUGAAGGCAAAUGGGA
This 1340-nucleotide long non-coding RNA is filed under the name Dermacentor andersoni. Its description in RNAcentral is "uncharacterized LOC126539746". The record is from RNAcentral. Lineage: Eukaryota; Metazoa; Arthropoda; Arachnida; Ixodida; Ixodidae.